GACGAACCGAGCGAACGUUGUUCGGAAUCACUGGGCUUAAAGGGCGCGUAGGCGGGUUGCCAAGUCUGGGGUGAAAUCCCACGGCUCAACCGUGGAACUGCCUCGGAUACUGGCGACCUCGAGGGAGGUAGGGGCAUGCGGAACUGUGAGUGGAGCGGUGAAAUGCGUUGAUAUUCACAGGAACUCCGGUGGCGAAGGCGGCGUGCUGGACCUCUUCUGACGCUGAGGCGCGAAAGCUAGGGGAGCAAACGGG
Molecule: ribosomal RNA, 253 nt
Filed under: uncultured bacterium
Lineage: Bacteria
Description: partial 16S ribosomal RNA
Rfam family: Bacterial small subunit ribosomal RNA
Source: RNAcentral